AUGAGGGAGGAAAUUCCCAUGGGAGCUGACGGCGGAGGCCAUCUUGAAUUUGGCUCCCAGCCGGGUGCGGUUCCGGAGACCAAUACGGCUCCCGAACCAGGCAAGCGGCCUCUCCCAGCUGGAGGGGGCAUAUCGGCAACCUCUGUCCAACCAGAGGUGUCGGAUGCUUUGCUGGUGGCGCUGAAGAGCGCCUCCGUCGUCGAUGAACACCGUGCCCUUAUGGGUGCGGUGAUUGAGAAGAUUCAGUCCGCUGAGAAUGGAUUGAAUGGAGCCUGUAUCGGCCUUAUAAAAGGUUUUGAGGCGUCCGUAGCGGCUGCUGCCGCUCAUACUGCGGAGAUCUCCGGACUGAAUCAAAAUCUGGAGCGGGCCCAAGAAGAACUUGGCCAGUUGAAAAUGCAGUUGAGGGAUAGACAUGCGAUGGUGACCGAAGUCGAGGCUCUUAAGGAGGCUGUGGCCAAGGCCGAGAAAAAGGCAGCCACAGAGUAG
RNAcentral lists this ribosomal RNA (486 nucleotides) under Triticum aestivum (bread wheat). Its description in RNAcentral is "partial small subunit ribosomal RNA". The record is from RNAcentral. Lineage: Eukaryota; Viridiplantae; Streptophyta; Magnoliopsida; Poales; Poaceae.